This 2531-nucleotide long non-coding RNA is filed under the name Gallus gallus (chicken). RNAcentral describes it as "lncRNA (ENSGALG00010000957.1)". Lineage: Eukaryota; Metazoa; Chordata; Aves; Galliformes; Phasianidae. The record is from RNAcentral.
CUGGAAAGAGUUUAUAUAAGGGAUAAGGAAGGGAAAAUAUUCCUAAAAACACAACCCCCUCCUCAAAGUUGUGUAUCUUGGACCAGAGGAAACACUAUCAGAAUUGUCUGUUUUGAUAAACCAAAAAAAUAAAAGCAAGACAAAGCUCAAAGGAGUUGUCUAAUUUUCAUAACUCAUUAGAGAUGUUAUGUAAAACUGAGAGAUACCAACAACAAAUACUGUUUUUACACAGAAAUUUUAUAGAAAUUAUAUUUUUAAAAUGUUCGGUACAAUGCUUCUUACAUUUCAAAGUGAUUUAGAUUGUGCAAAAUAAAAGCAAAACAACAAACUCCAAACACUCACAGCUUUCCAUUCUUUCACUCUGAAAUAUUGCCGUGAUUAACUAUGUUCUCUCUGUUCAAUUUUACACAUCCCUUUACAGGGCUUGGAAGGGACCUCAAGAGAUCAUGGAGUCCAACCCCCUGCCAAAGCAGGCUCCCUAAACUAGGUUGCACAGGUGGGCAUCCAGUUGGGUAGUGAAUACCUCCACAGAUGGAGGCUCCACUACCUCUAUGGGCAGUCUGUUCCAGUGCUCCAUCACCCUUACCAUAAAGAAGUUCUUCUGCAUUAUCACAUUCUUAUAAAAAUGUGUAAUUGCACUACCAACAUCACUGCUGCCACAAGCUGCUGUCUUAUCUCAAUAGGAAGUGGUAUCUUUUUAUUUGAACCCUGAAAAUUGCUAUCUAAAAGCCCACACAUUAUCUACUCAUUUACAAGUGUAACAAAGCUUCACAGAUCCCUUUUGUCAGAGCUUCAGAUUUCUGCUUAAAAGUUCUGCUGUUAUUUACAAACUUGGGAAGCACCUCAGUGCUGAUAGAGUAGAGAAGCUUGCUGUGUGUUGUUCAUUCAGGUUACAGUCACAUGUCAACCAAUACACAUCCUCAGGUGUCUUGGGUGGUAUAAUGUUCCUUUAUGGAUACUAUAUGGCUUGCUGCUUUCUUCUCCAUCCUUAAUAGAGAAGACAGAGAUGAUAUUCUACUGCCAAUUCCUCACCUCUUCCAAUUUUUUUAAGGAGAGAUGUAAAAUCAUAGGAUAAUUUUGGCAGGAUAUGACAGCUGGAUGUCUUCUGGUCCAAUCCACUGCUCAAAGCAGAACUGUCUUUGAAUUUAUACUAUGGUGCUCAGGGACUUGCUCAGUCAGUGACAAUAGAUCACCUUGUAAAUUCCACCUUGCGGGCCAUCCUUUACUUCCUUCCUUGUAUUCAGAAUUAAUUUCCACUUAAUUUUAUCCUAAUUUGUGUAUAUUUCCAUUGUUGUCUCAUUAUCAAUAACCAAAUAAACAGAGGACCUUGCAGUCCUUUAUAAGUAGUAUAGUCCUUUUAUAAGCCCUUUUAAGUAGAAGUCUUAUUACUCCAUUUUCUUUGAAGUAAUGAACAUACACUUUUAAUCUCCAUUUAUCAAAUAGAAUUGCUACCAAUUUCUGACAUAUUUUGGAAUCCAAAGUAUGUUUGUUAUUCGAUGGUAAAUACAAUUAAGUUAUUUAUAGUAAUAGCUAGGAUGAGUUAUUUAGAAAGCUCAGCUUUCAAAAUUGACUAUCACUCGCUUUAAUGUAAUAGUAAAUAAAUCAGUUUUACCAGAACCAUGGAUUGUCAUACCCAGUUUGCCACUUCCAUACUUGUGACAUACAACUUUACUUGGAAAAGGUUGGUGUAUGAAAAAUCUGUGUGUCUCUCCUAAGAACAUACUAUAAGGACAGCCAAACUACAUAUGAACAUAGAUCCUUCUACCACAUUAACCUAUCACAGACAAUAGUCAACUUAAAAAAAAAAAAUUCUGGAGGAAAACUGUAAAGAGCAGAUAGUCAUUCAUGUUGACAGACAGCAGAAAGAUCUUUUGGAAAGUGCUGGAAAGUACCACAGUUUUUUAUUUGGUAAGUACAGGCAUUGUGAAAUUUAUUGGGUAAGAAGGCAGCAAAAUAUAAGCAAAGAAGAAGCGGAAAGAAAGAAUACUUUAUUCAUUUUGCAAUUGGGAAUGGCCAUAUUUGUCAUGACAGGGCAAAACCAAGUCAGAGGGUGGACUGCUCUGGUAAGUCCCACUUUACUUCUGAAAAACACCUCCCUCAUUUAAGCCCUUCCCCACUUAGUAUAUAGUGUCCUCUACUGCUGCAUAAUGCUCAACUUAUUUCUUGUGAAGAAGACCUCAGAGGCAAAUUACACAAGGUUCUCCAGGGGGAACACAUACUCAUCCAGCUGCAGAUUCAACCCACCUUGAUCCCUAAGCAGAAGCCUACACUAGGAGCAGACCUCUCAUACCCCCUUUGUACAGCCAAUGGAGAAGAAGGGAUUUCCAAAAAGUGACUCAAAGCAGGGUCUGAAUCUUGCUCAGAAGGAUCCUCUGUGUCUCAUAUAAUAUGCUCCUAGAAUAGCUUCUGGCACACAAUAUUUUUUUUCUAUUGUAAGUUUGUUUGACUUAUAAAACUUUUGAAGGGCACUGUGCUAGAUGUUCUUAAUUCGUAUUGGAAAAAAAAAUCCUGUUUUUAAGCUUUUCUUGGUG